GAUGAACGCUAGCGGCAGGCCUAACACAUGCAAGUCGAGGGGUAGAGUUAGCUUGCUAACUUGAGACCGGCGCACGGGUGCGUAACGCGUAUGCAAUCUACCUUAUACAGAGGGAUAGCCCAGAGAAAUUUGGAUUAAUACCUCAUAGUAUUAUCGAGUGGCAUCAUUUGAUAAUUAAAGUUCCAACGGUAUAAGAUGAGCAUGCGUCCCAUUAGUUAGUUGGUAAGGUAACGGCUUACCAAGACUAUGAUGGGUAGGGGUCCUGAGAGGGAGAUCCCCCACACUGGUACUGAGACACGGACCAGACUCCUACGGGAGGCAGCAGUGAGGAAUAUUGGACAAUGGGCGCAAGCCUGAUCCAGCCAUGCCGCGUGCAGGAAGGACGGCCCUAUGGGUUGUAAACUGCUUUUGUACGGGAAGAACACCCCCUCGUGAGGGGGCUUGACGGUACCGUAAGAAUAAGGAUCGGCUAACUCCGUGCCAGCAGCCGCGGUAAAGUCAG
RNAcentral lists this ribosomal RNA (502 nucleotides) under uncultured bacterium. RNAcentral describes it as "bacterial SSU rRNA". It matches the Rfam family "Bacterial small subunit ribosomal RNA", at positions 28 to 528 of the family's 1533-position model. The record is from RNAcentral.